This 220-nucleotide small RNA is filed under the name Umezakia ovalisporum. Its description in RNAcentral is "Chrysosporum ovalisporum c-di-AMP sequence". It matches the Rfam family "c-di-AMP riboswitch aptamer (ydaO/yuaA leader)". From Rfam's summary of the family: This family represents a conserved RNA structure found upstream of the ydaO and yuaA genes in Bacillus subtilis and related genes in other bacteria. The ydaO/yuaA element is thought to act as a genetic "off" switch for the ydaO and yuaA genes in its native state. The record is from RNAcentral. Lineage: Bacteria; Bacillati; Cyanobacteriota; Cyanophyceae; Nostocales; Nodulariaceae.
UGAGUAAGUCAGCCUAAUCCGGUGUUUCAUAGCGCCUAACACUGGAGCGGAGGAACCAAAGUUUGGGGCGUAUCUCUGAGUUAAUGGCUAAAAAGAUUUGAAGUUUGAAACUGAGGAUUCAUUUCAACUUCCCAAUCUAUGAAAUCCUAAAUCCACCAGAGAAGGGCAUCUCUCAGCCCUAGCCCGUCAGCUAACUUCGUAGGCAUUGAGAGGAGACUGA